GACGUUGAUAGGUUACAGGUGUACAGAUGGUAACAUCACAGCCGAGUAAUACUAAUUGCCCGUAAGCUUUAACUUUAUUAUUACUUCGUUGUCCAGAACAACAAACUUAGUAUACAACUUUCUUCCAAUAUGUCACCUUAUUGUUUGCUGUAAAGCAAAAAGAUCUUAUGGUGGUUUUGCCAAGGGUGUUCACCUCUUCCCAUUCCGAACAGAGAAGUUAAGCCCCUUAUGGCCGAUGGUACUGCACAACAAUGCGGGAGAGUAGGUAGCUGCCAUAU
RNAcentral lists this ribosomal RNA (278 nucleotides) under Chitinophaga dinghuensis. Lineage: Bacteria; Pseudomonadati; Bacteroidota; Chitinophagia; Chitinophagales; Chitinophagaceae. The record is from RNAcentral.